AAGCCCAGAAACCAGCCCCGCAGCUGCUGACAGAGCAGCACAGUUACAGAGUGAGAGCGGAAGCUGGGCGGCUGCCCGCACAGCAGGACAGCCCUCGGGUGCAGCGCCCUGGGCUGGACAGGCCCCAGCGGCUAGGACGGAAACACGGAAACACGCUCGCUUCCCUCCCCGCCAGUGCUCCUCUCCUACACCCGUUCCUGGCUUCUCCCUCGGAACAAGCGAGGUUUGGCAUUUCUGGUAACACCCGGCCCUCACCGACUCAUCUCACCUAGCACGCAACUCCCCUGGAUGUUUGCAUUUUCAAGAUAUAUCACUGAGUAGUGAAGACCCACUUCGGCUCUUGUUAAUGGAAUUGCAAGAGAAUUCAGGAUUGUUCAAAUAGAAACACCAAAGUUGCUGCUUAAAGCCCAUGACUCUACGGCCUGGAUACCAAAAAUUUGAGGCUCCAGUUUGCCACCUCUGCAUUAGACUGCUUGUUUUCCCUGCCCCAGCCCCACAUGGCCUCGGCACCAAUUCCUCCGCCACCCCUCCAAGGACUGCAAGUGGGACUGGCUCCUGCUGCUGAUGCUGACUCACCUUGGAUCAUCACCUUCCCAGCUGCUUAUCUCAGGGAAACUGAGGCCGACCCUGCCAAGGGACUCAGCCACAUUACUCUGGAAGUCUGGAGCAGCGCUGACAAUGGACACCGGAAGUGAAAAGUCCUCAACCCCAGUGUGCUGUCCUCCGCCCAGACCAUGCCUCAGUGGGGAGGAAGUCAGGGAUGUUAAAGGCCAACUCUUCAGCUGGAAGUCCCAGCCAAAAGCAAUGAGGACACAGAGCAUGAUAAGGAAGGUGCAGGUGGGUGCAGGUGGGUGCAGGAUCUGUAGCUCACCAAGUCCUAUUUUUGGUUAGACCGUGUUCACUGGCCCCCCAAGAGUCACCUAAUGGUCUAUGCCUGGCAGGGAGUGCUUCCGCCUCCCAGCAGACCCGAGAGCCCUGCAUUAUAUGCCCAGCUGUCUCCUCAUUAACACCUCCUUCUCCCCAACCCUCACCCCCAUCUGCCUCCUGUCCUGCUCUCUUGGCAAGAGUCCAUUCACACACCACACAAGCUCCAAAAGCAAGGUUGGCAUGUCUCUGUUGAAAAAGUUUGCAAAAACCUAAAGGGGGCCUUGGGUGGGGAGCAUCUAUUGCUUCAACAUGGAACUGAGAACCUGCCAGGAAUUCUUGGGGAAACCAAGGAAAAAUGCAUGGUGAUUUGUUGAGGGCACUGGAAAGUUAAGAAACUUACCCAACGGCACACAGGAGCUAAUCAGAGGAGCCACCAACUCCGUAUUUUGUACAAAUAGCAAAUAGCUUUGUAUACAAAGUCUGUGGCAUUUUCUACAUUACCCUACAGAAAGUUCCUAUAAAAUGAAUGUUCUUAUUUGGGGGAGAACGUUCUGCAAUGUCAGAACUCCCUGCUUUGAGUAAUGGGCAGCUGUAAGACUUCAAGAGCAAAGCAUGUGUGGCUGCACUUAGAAAUUGACAAAGGCCCCCCAGCACCUAUGUGAGCAGUGCUCCCUGCUCAAUUCCAAGGCAAACCCACUCUCCAGGAGCCACAGUCUUGUGAAGAAGAUGCCAGAGGCAUGAACAGAAGUGUGAAAUUUGAAAUUAACGUACAAGAUUGAUCAGAUAAAACAAGUUUCUGGGCAUAAGAUUAUAUAAUCCCUUAGAGUUCAUAAAAAGGAACCAUCAGAUAAGUCAGCCAUCUUAUCAUUUUAACUGAAGUGGCUAAACCAGCUUCAGUUGCAAAAAUAGAAAAAUGUUAGCUUCAUGUUUCUCUGUUAGUAGGCAAGGAAGGGUGCAAUUUGCCUUUCGUAGACUAAGCAGCAACAGUCAGGAUUUUUAAAUUCUCCUCUCAUUUAUAUUUAAAAGAGAGAAAUCCAAGGAAUUCCAAAUUCAUUUACCCCAAGUGGACAGAAUUUGCCUCUUGCUCCAAUAGGCAAUUACAAGGAGACAUGUAAACUAUACAACCAUGAGCUCUCAUGCAGCUGGAAACUGGAGAGAAAAAGGUCCCUCCUUAUUUACUGAUACGAAAGUCACCAUCUUUGUGUAUAAACCCAACUACAAAGCAAGGUUCAAAUGAGUCCCCACCCUCGCCCGCAAAGCUUCAGGAAUACCAAAUAAACCCCUCCAGCCAACUAUGCCAGCCGGGGUAGAAGCUAAGGGAUAAAAAUGCUAACUUGAAUUUGUACCAUGAUGCAUUCCCUCACAACGCCUUCUUCAAAUGCUCUUCUGUCCUAGACCCCUGUGUUCCUGCUACUCAGCCUUUUUUAUCUCCAGCAUCUAACUCUCCUGGGUGGAAGCAGGCAUUCCUCCCGAUGUGCUAGAUCCGUGGGCCCAAAUGGCAGUAAAAGGCAGUGGCCUUGAUUUGGCAACUCCCAAUAAGCAUUGAAAAUUUUCAUACCUUUUUACUCAAAAACAACACUUUAAGGAAUUUACCCAAAUGAAAUAGUCAACAAUGAGUAUAACUAUGUGCCUGCAAAUAUUGUUUAAAAUGAUCUAAAAAUUAAAAACAACUUAAAUCUUCAUAAAUGUUGGUCUUAGGUAAACUAUGAUAUGCCUAUAUGUGGAAGUAAAAAUACUAUAGAAGCAAUAUAAGAAAAGAUUAAUAGAUUGGAUUAUAUAAAAAUACGAGUAUUUUCUAUGGCAAAAAAAUAACAUUUACAAUACCAUAAGAGAAAUGGGUAAAUUAUUUGCAGCGUGUAUGGCAGGCAAGCUAAUUUAUCUGAUAUAAAAAAAACUCUUUAAGAUCAAUGAAAAAAGAACAACCCAGUUUAAAAAGGGCCAAUAACCACAUGAAAAGAUGUUCAACUUCACACAAUUGAAGAAAUUAUAUUAAUAGCUUGAUUCAAUCUUUCGUCUAUAAUAUCAGCAAAGUCCAAUAAUAUCCAGGACUUAGAAAAAAAGUUGUUCUCAUUCAUUGUUGGUGGAAGCAUAAAUUUAAAGGGCAAUUUGAUCAUUUGAAAAUGUUAAAUUCUAAAAUAUUUCCACUGUAGGAAUUUAUCCUUGCAUAUGUACUUACACAAGCACAUAAAAUAUAUACAUAAGGUGUUUACAGAGUGUUGUUUAUAAUAUCAAAAAUGUAGAACAAAAUAACAAAUAAAUUGUGGUACCUGUGUAAUGUACUUUACAAUAGACUACUAUGCUGUUUGGCAGAAUGCAGUAACUCUAUAUAUAGUGAUAUGGAAAACAAUGCCCACAAUACACUGGUCUGUUAAUUGAUAAGUAAAUACAGAAAGCUGAAGAAUAUUAAGUAUAAAGAACUUCGUUUGUGAUAUAUACAUACUUUUUUUCACGUAAGCAUAGAGAAUAUAUUGAAAGAUUUGAAAGAAAUAUAAAUAGUGGCAGCUUCCAAAGGAUAGCAUUUGAGGGGAAGGGAGAUUUUAUACUUUAUUUCCUAUCAUUCUCAACUAUUCAAUUAUUUAUUUUAAUGAUUAUGUAUUAUUCCUGUAAUUUUAGAAAACUAGCUUGACCCAUUAUUAAUCACCUACACUGUUACAGAAACUGUUAGACACUGGGGGUAGAGUGGUGAGUGGGCAGACAUGACCUCUUCUCAAGCAGUAAAUCAUAACAUGAAAUGAAAGGGACCUUUUGCAAUAGGAGCAGGGAGACUAUGGUAAGAGGAAGAAUGCUCGGACCUGAACAUCUGCAAGUCAAGCAGAAAAGGGCUUUACUUGGACGGGAAGGAUUGAGCACAAAUUGGUUAUGGGGGACCAGUAUGAUCAGACCAUUGGUGAGGGGCUGUUGUUCUUUGUGGUCAGCCUAUUUUCAGGAGGGGUGGAAGAGUGGGGACUGUUCCAUAUUCCAUUGCUGGCUCAGGCUGAGCAUGGGUCAAAAUUCAGGGUUCAGGGGUGGAAAGUGGGGUGGAGGAAAAGCCUAACUAAGGUUUGACUAAGACAAGUCGGUGGACAUUAUGUCCCUUUUCGUCAGUGGGAGCAAAGAGUUCAGCUAAUCACUUUUGAAACACAGAAAGGGAAUUCAGAGGGUCUGAGUCUGCCCUUGCAAUAACAGGGGUCUCCCUGCUUCUUAUCUAAGUCACAUUGGGUAGGAUGGUUUUUUGCAGCAGCCAUUCCAGGAACACAAACAAGUCAGCGAUUACCUGACCAUGGCUGUUUCCCAGAAGAGGACUCAGGCAAGGCAUCACCUUGUCAGGGACAACCAUAGCCCCCUCAAACAGCUUUAAUUCUUGGGGACUUAAGAAUUAAGCAAGAAAAUGAGUAAAUAAAUAAAACUUAUAUAACUACCAGCAGAAGCUUCAGAGAGGGAGUGAUUUCUGGCCCCAGAGGAGACCAUAUCUAGUGCACAGUUCGUUUCUUAGCUUUUCAGUUUCAAAAAUCUAUCUGUAUCUGCCCGAAACAGACUGAGAGAUCACUGUAACAGAACAGAUGGCAAUGAAACGGACCCGAUUAUGUACAAAGAUGUAAGAUUCAUUACAGCUCAAUGAGGGAAAGAAAGGAUUACCCAAUAAAUGGUGUUGGGGCAAUUAACUAGCAAUUUGGAGAAACAGUAAUUUUAGAAUCCCACUUUAUGUCAUACACUAAAAUAAAUUCCACCUGAGUGGAAGGGUUAAAUGGUUUUUUUUUUAACAUCAAAAUCUUAGAAAAAUAGGAUUGAAUAUUCUCUAAACCUCUAGAGGAAAGAUAACUGUAUAGGCUUAGAAGCAAUACAAGAAAUGUUUUUUUGAAGAGUAAGAUCUAUAAGUUUAGCUACAAAAAUGUAAAGUAUAAAAGCAAGUAACAAACAAAAAAUACUGCAGCAAAUGUGACAAGGAGGAACUAUACUUAAAAUAAUUAAGCCCUCAUCAGUAUGGAUCAGAAACAAAUUAGGACUUUAAAAGGCAGGACAAAAGAUAAUGCACAAAAAAGUGAUGUAACUCGCAAACCAAGACUUGAGAUAUUCAGUUCCCAGAGAAUAAAAAAUAUAAAUUAAAAUACAAAGUUACCAUUUGUCUCUGCUAAUUAGCAUAAACUGAUAAUAACACCUCUGGGGCUUCUGUUUCUGGUUAGGCUGUAGACAGCCUUAGGUGGUUGUUGACACCCACCUUGUCCUGAGAACUAGCUGAAUAAGCCACAAAAUCACAGUUUUUAAAACCAUCAGGGCUUGGGAUGCAAAGAAACCUAAAUAAAUUAAAUUCUAACAGUGAUAAGCUCUUCCUAGGAUAGAAGAGAUUCAUGGCUGCUUCCAUCUAUGAAGAUGUGGCAGGAAGGGGAAGAAUCUGCCAUAGACUCAGGAAAAGAGAUAACUGGCCAGGCUUGUAACAACAUUCAAUGGCUAUCUGUGAGCUCCUGUGACAGAUCAGAAUUCCAAAGAGCUCUAGCCACAGAGUGAGUCUGCACCCUCUCACUUGCCGGUGCCCUUGUAUAGCUCUUCAUUGUGACCACAGGAAGAGGAGACCCAGGCUGUGGGCAAGCAAGACGACUGAUAGAAUUCCCGCAAGGCCUGCAGGGACUCAGCCAAGUGCCAGAGCUGCUGGAGCCAGGGCAGGACCCACAACAGAGAGAAGGCCCUCUAAGGGAUACAGGCACUCCAGCCCAAGCAGCACGGGGCCCUCCUCAGACCUGGAGCAGAGGCAGAGGGAGGUCCCCCAGGUUGCAGAAACCUGGGGGCUGACCCUGAACCCAAAGCUGGCACCUGGCUGCCAAGAAGGAGAGAAACCGCCUAUGCUAUGUAUGUUCAGAAAGUUGGCAGAAAGGCCGGGAGGCAUAAAAAUAUCUCAUAUCAGUAGUGCUCAGAGCCCAAGCCCUGAUGAAGAGUCUUGACUUCAUCCUCAAAACGUCUGAAGCCAGUGGUGAACUGGACCAAACUAGAGCCGUAAGAAUUCCAUGCCCCGCUCAAACAUAGCUCUAAUUGUCUCAGGCCUUUGCACUAGCUGUCUAAAAGAAGGGAUGUAACCUUUUCUGUGAGUGAAUACUGUUUAUUUCAAUCUGCUGGUUUUUUACACACAACGUCUUAUAUAAAUAAAGAAUUAAGAGACUAAGAUACCAAGCAAAUGUGAUAGGGUCAAGAGAUUAGAGUAAAUGGAAGAAGACCCAGAGAUGGCUUAGAUGUUAGAUUAUCUAACAGUGACUGUAACAUAAACAGAACGAGUCUGUAUAAACAAAUGGGGGCUUUGGGCAGAAAGAUGGAGACUAUAAAAAAUAGCCAAAUGGGCGUGUGAUUAACUCUUUAAAAAACCAUUAUUUUGCCUAAAACAAAAAUCAUAACAAUGAAUUAUAGAGUUUAGAGCAUAUGUAGUUAUAGAGCAUAACAAUGAAUUACAGAGUUUAGAGCAUAUAUAGCAGGAAAAUCUAUGACAAUAGGAGCAUAGAGGAUGGGAAUGAAGUAAAUGUAUUAAUAAUGCUACAGAGGUCUUACGGUGUUAGUGAAAUAGCAUAUUGUUAUUUGAAAGUAUAUAUUGGUAAAUAAAUGAUUCAUAGAGAACUCACUAAAAAUAACAAAAAUAGGUGUAGUGAAAAAGUCACUAGAGAUCAAAGGAUAAUUAGAAAUAUUUAAUUCACGUAAAAGGAUGCAGAAAAGGAGGAAUCGAGGAAAAAAUGGAUGGGACAAAUAGAAAACAAAUAGCAAGAUGAUAAACCCAAACCCAAUCCUAUCAAUAAUUACAUUAAGCAUAAAUUACUAACUGCUCUAAUUUAAAAGCAGAGAUUGUCAGGCUGUAUGAGAAAUCAAGCCUGAACUAUAGCCAUUUAUAAGAAAUGUCAUUUCAUAAUGAUAGAAGGCAAAGUCAACAGGGUAACAAUCAUGAAUGUCUAUACACCUAAUAAUGAACUAUCAACAUACAUGAAGCAAAAAAUGACAGGACUAAAGGGAAAAACAGAAAUCCACAUCUGGGUUGGGAUUUUUAACAUCUCUCUCAGUAAUUUGUAGGAUAAGUACACAAAAAUAUCAGUAAGUAGAUUUGAAAAACAAUUUGAUAUUUACAGAAUAAACAUUUCAGAAAGCUUCUUUUCACAUGCACAUUAAACAGACACACAAAUAGACCAUCUAUGCUAGGCCCCAAAAUAACACUAAAAUACACUUCAAGGGACUGAAAUCAUAUAAAGUAUGUUCCUGGACCACAAUAAAUAUUAAAUUUAAAACAAGUAACACUAAGAUAUUUACAAAAUCUCCAAAUAUUUUGUAGUUGAGUAACAAAAACUAAAAAAGACAUGCAAUAAUAAAAGAUCACAGGAAAAUUAGAUACGUAUUUUGAGCUGAAUGGUAAUAAAAACACAAAACAUCAAAACAUGUGAUCGGUAGUUAACACUAUGCUUAGACAGAAAUUUACAACUUUCAAUACUUGUAUUAGAAAAUAAGAAAUGUAUGAAAUCACUAAUAUAAGCUUCUACAUGAGAAUCCUGAUGAAGAACAAAAUAUAUACAAAGUAGAAAAGAUUAAAUAAUGAAAAUAAGAGUGGAAAUCAAGGAACAAAAAAAAUGAAUAAAUAGAAAGAAUUAAGUUCUAAUCAGAUUCUUUGAAAAGAUUAAUAAAGCUGAUGAACCUCUGGCAAAUCUGAUCAAGCCAAAAAAAAAGAGAGAACACAGAUUAUCAGGAAUAAAAUAAGUGCUAUCACGACAGGUAUUUUCAAAAUUAAAAGGAAAAUGGGAAUAUUAUAAACACUUUAAUCUCAGUAAAUUUGACAACUGAUGCGAAAGGGAUUGUCCCUUGAAAAAACACAAUUUUUCAAAACUGACGCAAGUCAAAAUAAAAAAUCUAAAUCUACGGAUGCCUUUUUCUAUUUGGAAGGAGUGCUAAAGAAGGACGGUAUUAAUUCUUUUUUAAAUGGUUGGUAGAAUUCACCUAUGAGGCCAUCUGGUUUUAGGUAUAAUAGCUCAAAAUUUUAAACAACUCAAAUGUUCAUUAACUAGAGAAUGGACAGAAAAACUGUCAUAAUUCCAUAGAAAUCUAUGCAGCCAUAGAAAUGAAUGAACCACUAAUACAUACAAAUUCAUGAUGGAUCUCAAAAUCAUUGUGUUGGAAACAAUGAAAGCUAGACAAAAAGGACAAUUUCUGUUAAUUCCAUUUAUAUGAAGUCCAGGAACAGGCAAAAGAAUUUUUGUGGGUGAUGAAGAUAUUCUAUCUUUAUUUUGGGUGGUGGUCUGAAAGGUUAUGUAACUGUUAAAAUUCCUCAGUCUCAAUUCUCAAAAUAAGGUAAUUUGAUUUCAUACAACUUAUACCUCAAUUUUUAAAAGUUUAACAGUAAUAUCUUUGGCUGAUAAGGAUGUACUGAAACAAAUAGUCCCAUAAUUGGACAUUAAUUUUGGAAAGCAUUUUGGCAAUAUUAAUCAAGAGUUAUAAAACGUCCAAACAUUUAACUCAUAAUUUAUUUAGGCAAAUCUACUCUUUUAUAAUUCAAAAUUAUAGAAGGAACAUGCAUAAAAAUAUUAACAGUAUUUUGUAAUAGUGUAAACUGAAGCAAUUCAAAAUGCAACAUUGGAUAACAAGUAAAGAAUGUGCAAUAAAUAUACUUAACAAAAUAUAUUUUGGUCAUUGAUAUUAUAGUUCUCAUGACUAUAUAACAAGCUGAUGACAUAUUUAAGCUACAAUCCUUUACGCCUUGUAAAAAUAUAGAUAGGAAAAAACACAAUGAUAAAUUGUUCUUCAGGGAAUAUUUUCUUAAUUUUCAGCUUAGGUAUCUGAAUUUUUAUAUUGUCCUUUCCUUUAACAUUUUGUUCAAUUCUUUUUAAAACUUUUUCUUUUUUCUUGAUAUUUUUGCAAUAUUGAAUUUCAAGAACACAGUCUUUUUCUCCAAUUAUUCACAUAUCAUUUAUCUCCUUCCAUCAUUUUCUUUAUUUAAAUUGGAUUUUUAUUGCACAAGAAAUCCAUGGUUAUAUUUCCAUAAUUUUUUCCUAUAUAUAAAAAGAUCUGUUUCACCUAAUCGUUUUCAAUUUCCAGAAAAUAACUUUUUAACUGGACUUUAUGAAUAAAACUAAUGGGAUAGUUCUUUUCAAUGACUCAAAUGCUCAUGCCUACCAGAAUUAGAUAUGCAGCCAAAUAUUAUGUCAUUAAUGUAAAACAUUAAAUAUAUUGACUUUAAAAACAACAACAUUUUAAGAGUGGCUAGUCUCUAGGUAGUGACAUAAGGUAAAAAUUCUUUUUCCUUGUCUGAUUUUCCUAUAGUGAACAUGUAUGACUUUUGUGAUAAAAAGAAACAACAGACUUAAAUCUCAAUUCAGGCUCUAUCCCUCCUCAAGCCACGAACUCAAGCCUGACCCAAGACAGGGCCCAGGAAUGCAGGGUCCCCAGGCCAGAGGCUUCCCCAUUAGGCACACAUCUUGCCAUUGCUCUUCUGGCACCUUGACCUUGCACUUCCUCUUUCUGUGCUACUCUCUUGAACUUAAUAACCUGACACUCUGGGGCUUCCUCUUCUGGCCCUCAGCCUUGCACCUACCAGUCCCACUGUCCUUAUACCCCCCCAUCCCCUUAAGUGCAGGAGGCAGGGCCCCUCAAUCUGGUCUCUUCUGGUCCUGGGCUUCUUGGUGUCACACAGGCAGCUAGAGCAAUAGCUACACCGACCUUUCCUCCCCAGAUCCCCAGCAAGGGAGCAUGCUAUGGAAUGCCUGUGAAACAUCAUCAUCUCCCCGUCUCCCAGUAGAAGCGAAUAGAGUUAGAGGAGGCUGUCGAGGGUGGGAUGGUAGCAGGCGCCUCCCUGGAGAGCCCACUCUAGCCUUCCUCGCCUGUCUGUGUCUCCUCCUCUCAGCUUAGAUCCUCUCUCAGGAGCCUGGCCAAGCCUGGUGAAGGGAAGCUAAAGAGGUGACUACAAAUGGAAAUGAACGUCCUGCUGAAAAGAAUUCAGAGUGAGUUCAUCAGGGACACCAUGGCCAGCGGGAGAGAUGGAUCACCAGUGUUGUUCCUGGGAGACCAGAAGUGUCCUAGAUAGGAGCUGUCCCACCUCCCUAGAUCUCAGAGUGAAGAAAUGUGCAGCCAAUCCACAAUGGACACAUAGCAUGAAUAGAGCCGACGCUGGGAGCUGCCAUCCUGAGGGGCCUCUAAGAGGCCCUCCUGCCCAGCGUAUCAGGCGGACACGGGGACUCCUGCUGCUCACUUACUUUAUGGUGGGGCAGUGUUGAGAAAAGCAUCGAGGAGCAAUCCUGGAUUGCUUUUCUGAGAAGCCCCUGGGCAUGGCACAACAGAAGCAAGUCUGGCUUUACUCAGAGGUGAAGCAGGCUGUGCCCUGAAUCCCCAGAAGUCUGUGAAUGGAGCCUAUACCCAUUCAUGGCUUUGCCACCCUCAAUGGCUGCCAACUGCUCCAGCUUCUCCCCCAUCACUGACCUCCACCUACAUGGAAACAAUGCCAGCCUCCUGCUUCAGACUCCCCCCUGUUUCUAGGAAUCACACAAUGUCUCCAGCCAAGACUGCUCCCCCCUUGGCCCUUCUUCAGCCCCUGAAUUCCUCCUGCACACCUUUAGACUCAGCUCAGCUGUUAUCUCCUCUGUGGAGCCUUUCUAAAUGCCUCUAAUUGAUUUGGGGCAUCCUUGUUUUCUUAGUAUUCAUUAUCCAAAUACAUACAGAGAGGCAAAAAUCACCGUAUCUGAAAACAUUCUCUAAUAAAUGGCCACUCACAGUAAAUACUCAACAACUAUUUAUUGAGUGUCCAUUAUGCACCAGGCACUGAUAUGUACACUUGGGACACAGCAAUGAACAGACAAAUAUCCCCAUCCUGUAGGAUUUACAUUCCAGCAAGGGUUGGGGGAGUUGUCGAUAUCAGUAUAUAAUAAAUACAAUAGCAAUAACUUAAAUGACAUGUUACAGAUUGAUAAGCGUGUGCAAGAAGGAAAAAGUAGAGAAGGGUAAAGAGGAAAGAGAAUAUUGGGGAUGACAGAAGGGAGGGGAGGAACAGGGUUAAAUGGGUCUCAUCCUGCAGGUGACUUUCAACCACAGGUCAAAAGACAGAAAGGAAUGUUCACGCAGACUUCUGGAGGAAAAAUAUUCCUACAAACUGUGACCCCAGCCAAAUCCAACCUUCUACUUGUUUUCAGAUGACCUGCCAGCUAAGAAUACUUAUUAGAUUUUUAAAGAGUUGGAAAAAAUCAAAAGAAGAUUAAUAUUUCAUGACACAUGAAAUUCAAGUGUCAGUGUCCAUAAAGUUGUAUUGGGACACAGCCACCCUCACUUGUUUAUGUAUUGUCUGUGGCUGCUUUUGCGCCACAACAGCAAAGCUGAGUAGCCGUGACCCUCAAGGCUUAAAAUAUUUACUAUUGGCCCCUUGCAGAAAAAGCACUGAGCUACAGGAAAGGCCCCUGGGCAGGAGCAGGAAUGGGUAGCAGACAAGUGUGGCUGGAGUGAGCAGGACCCUGACCAGGGAGGAGGAGGGCACAGUGGAAACAGGCUGGGAAGGAGUGCCGAUCGUGUAAGAUCUUCAGGCCAUUGGUCUGAACUCAAGCAAUAGAAGCCACUGCUGGAUUCUGAUUAAAAGGAUCACUUGGUUUUAGAGAAUGGCUUCAGCAAUUCUACUGAGGAUAGACUGUUCUGUGGGUGGUUCUUGCCAUUAUCUAGGCACUAAAGGAUAAUGGCUCAGACUAGGGUGGAGGUACUGAGUCUAGGUGACAAGAGGUGGUCCAAUUCUGAAUAUGUUUUGGACAAAGAGCCAACAGGAUUUCUUGGUGGACUGGACAUGGGACAUGAGAGAGAGAUCCAGAAGGACUCAAAGCUUGGCAGGAACACUUAGAAGGAGGGAAAAUAUCACAGGUGCUGCUUAGCAAUGCUGGGUCUGAAACAUCUACUAGACAUGCCACUGAUGAUGCCGAGUGUCAGUUGGGUUUAUGAGUCUGUAUUCAGAAGAGAGGUCAGGAGUUAUAAAUAGAUAUGUGGCAUAUAAAAUUGUGGGACUGGAUGAGAUCACCAAAGAAGUGCCCUCAGAAAAGAAGAUGACCAAGGACUGAGCCUCGGACAGGCAGCCUUAGGGACUCAGACAAGAAAGGAAGGAAGCAUCGGAGGACACUAAUGGGAGGGACCAACAAAGCAGGGAGAAAGGAGGCUAUAGCGGAAGCCGGCAGAGAGGCUGUGCUGGGGUAGAAGGGGAGAGCGCCCUGUCGAAUGCUGCCCCUCUGUGAGCAAGAUGAGGGCUAAAAUGGUCACUGAUGUAGCAACAUGGAGAGCUUAGGUGGGCUUUACAAGAGCAGGCUUGGUGGAGAGACCAGGGCGAGAGCUAAUGAAGUGAUUUUGAGAGAGUGGGAAAGAGAAAUUGGAAGACAGUGCAUAUAGACAACACUUUCCAGGAGGUUUGUUGCAAAGGGAAGCAAAGAGAUGGGACAUCAGCUGGAGAGGAAGGGCAUAGUGUUAAGAAUCAUCUAACAGAGAGCAAACACUGAUGCCACGGGGAGGGGGAGUCUUUGCCAGAGCAGGGGAGGCUGGACAGGAGCAUUGCACAUGUAGACAAGCCAUGGAAAGCCCUCACUCCCCACGGGACUCUAGCACCCACCUGUACCACCAUGUUAGGACCCUUGUCACUUUGUUCAGACUUACUCAUUCAUCCUGUGGACUGUCACUGAAUGUCCCCCUGACACCUGGUUUGGUUCUAGGCACUGUGUAUAUACGGUGUGGGCAAGUCUGAUGACCUCUGUUCUGUUGUAGGUUCUAUGCCCUAUAUGAAGGGUGGAGGAUGCUAGUGUGGGUAACUAAAAAUCCUGAGUUCAACUGACUCAAAAGAUGAAACCUUUUAAUAUCUCCUGUGAUGAAAGUCUAGAUAAAUGUUCACAGCCUUGCCAUUAUUAUAGCCUUAAUCAAAAUGUAUCACCAUUGUCUGCUUACCAUCCCCUACACUGACAGCAAUUUUCUUUAAAGGCGCAGUAUAUAUAACUCUAACACUUUGAACAGUUUCAGACACAGGGAAGGAACUUUAAAAAUGUUUGCUGAAUGAAUACAUAAAACCUGAAAGAUGGGGAGAAAUCGUCUUUUAUGAUUCCUCCAUAAUAUUCCCCCCUGAGUUACCAAGCUAUACUUUUCAAAAACAAACAUCCUUGUGAUGUCUAACACCGCAGUGCAGACAGUUAAUCACACUGAAGUACGAACAGUUUCCUUGGGUACUUUUCUUUUUAACAACCAGCUACGAUCAUCUGUCCCUUAUCAACUGGAUUUUUCCAUGGACUGGGAUGAAGUGGAGAUCUGGGAGGGAUAAUGUGGAAACUAAAGCACUACUAGGUAACAUAAGACUAGAUAGGCCAGUGGUUUAUCUUGAUGACAUGAAUCUCCCUCUUUUGAACCCAAAGGGAUUUCUAUAAUAGACCACCCAGAAAGCCCGAAGUUUCAUCAUACUAUAAGCAGUCUCCCAACACCUGACUCGGCUAUCACUUCCUUCUUGGUUCCUAUAACAUAACCCCCAAACCUCUCCAAAUGUCUUCCUUUAAGUAUCGUGUCAAGAUCAUCCUGAUGGGAAUGGUCACCAUAAUACAGGAAUAAAAUGAAUAGAGGGAAUAAAAAUGAAUAAUGAAGGAAAGAAUGGUGAAAAUUUCUAUGGCAAUGCCCUUGAGUAGGAGAGAAGGGAUGGGAGCAAGAGCCCAAGUGGGAAGGCUGUUCUAAGGCCGAAGCAGGGCCCACUCAUCCACAGUUGCAGGGAGAAGGCAGCAGUGCGGGUAGGUGGGUCCCUACGCCGGCGGGAACUUCUGCAAGGUCUUUGCCGACAGCGUUCAUUCUCUCAGUAAAAUAGGAAGAAAGAUCAUCAAUGGGAAGUGAAGGAGGGAUGGGGAAGAGAGGGUUGAGAAGAGAGAAGGAAACAGAAUGGCCAUCUAGUAGAAGGGAGACAGAUGGACCACGGAAGGACAGGGUAACUGCUGGGCAAUGAUGAGGCUCCAUGUGUGCUUAGUGAUCAAAUAUUUAAAGCAACCUUGAAGAUUAGGAGUUUUAGAUUAGUGAUCUUGAAGGUGUGGCAGAUCCAGGUGAUGCCAAUAUCCACACUGAACUUGUGGGAAUGGGUGGAUCUAGAAUGAAGGUCACCUGAUAUUAUGGGACUGAUUCCCGGUUCAUCCCUUAUUUACCAUGUGCACAGUGCCUGUGCUGGGUACUUGUCACAGAAUAGGUGCUCAGUGAAUAUUUGACUGAACACAAACAUUUUAUAAAUUACAAAAUAUCAAAUCUAUUAUAUUCGGCUGUCUCCUUCUCCACACAUGUCCUGGUUCUUAAUCUUCUCCACUGACAUUUUCUUUUUUUUUUAUUUAAUUGAAGAAUAGUUGACAUACAAUAUCCACCCACUCUUAAAAGUAACUCACAAGUUCAACUUCACAUUUAAAAUACACAUGCAUUUAUGGAUGAUAACACUCGUUUCUCAAAGAAGCCCAGAGACCUGGAUUAUGUGUGAAGUUUGGAAAAGAGGUUAUUUAUUCAUGCUGGUCACUUCUUUUAUAACAUAAAACUUUUUAUAGGACAUUUAUUGAUUAAAGCAUGUUCACAACUAUUAUCUCCUUUUGUCCUCAUAAUAAUCCCGAGAGGCAGGUGCAGUGACCUCAUCACCCCCCUUUCACAGGCAAAGGAAGUGGGCACUGCUCUUCCUGGGACACACGGCCAGUGAGCAAAGCAGGCAUGAAACCGGCAGUGCCUGGCUGCCACCCUGGCUGCAUGGGCUGUUGACUUUGGAGGCCUCUGUGCUUUGGCUGUUUCGUACAACCUCACUGCCCUUUACAUUUCUGAUCUCCCUCUAUUACCUGCCACACAAUCUCUUUUUCUCCUCUUUCCAGCUUCCCUCCCAGUGAUGUCUCAGGCCUGGGAAUGGGGGUUGGAAAAUGACCACAUCUCACUCCAGAUCACAGGGACCAGGUUGAAGACAAAUUGGCAGGACAAGUAUCCAUGUGCCAAUCCAAACACAGCUGAUCAUAACUAUGGUUCUUUAAAAGAGGCAGAGCUUCUUGGCUUGCACCCUGGGGAGCCUCGCCCCACCUCCCUGGCCCAAUCCAAGUGUGUGGGUGGUUCCGUCCAUCCCUUUCCUGGAAUCACAUUCUAAAUACUUCUGACCAAUCACUGAGUGGGAGCACUGUUCUUACAUCAUUUUUACACAUGUGAAACAGGUAAGUAGGGAUGUUAUAACUGGCCAAGGUCACACAGUCAGUAACUGGCAGGUAAGACUGGCCCCCAGGUCUGAAUCCAAAGUCCUUGCCUUAACUGCUAUUAUACAGUCAGUUUCUUGCUGAAGAGCAGAACAGGAGCGAUUUCAGUUAAAAAAUUCUCAUUAAUUAUCAUCUCCUCCCCUCACAGAAAUCACUGCAGAGCCAGUUUUCUCUAAGGUGACAUCUCAAUCCAGCCUUGACAAGAGAGAAGAUUUGCAUAUGAAUGGCAGGUCCAGGUCCUGGUGGCAAGGCUAACGCCUGCCCUUCAGAGGGAAGCGGGAGGAGGGAGGUGAGGGACCGCGACCUAACCUAAGUCACAGGGGCCAGGUGACUGCGACCCAGGUGCUUUGUCCAUGGUGAGGGAGGUGGGAACCAGGACGGGAAUCCCUGAGGGGAGGACGCCAGAUUUCCUCAAACAUGUAGUACUCGCUAGCCCCCUGUAGUCAUUACCCACUGCUAGCAGUCCCAGCUGGGCUCCUGGUCAUGGCUGUCCUGACAUUUCUCUUCCUGUAACUGGUUGGGUCAUGGCAUGAUAGCUACCUGGAUCAUUCUUCUCAAAAUAGGCUAUAAUUCAAAAAGGAACUGUCCAAGCGCAGGGCCCAGAAAGAAUAGGAUGACGAAGGAGAAGUAAGUGUCAUUGGCAGGACUGUGCAGGACCCCAUGGGGUGCAAUGAGGCAGUUCUAGGCUCUCCCGGAGAGUCAAUGCAGGGAGGAAAAGGGCUGCUGAAAUCAAAUUGUGUUUACUUUCCUUCAAUACAUAUUUCCAUGGGGAAAAAAAAUCACAUCAUCUUUUAAAUAAACACAUGCAUUUGACUCCUUUUCCAAUUAAACUUGAUCCACAUGAGCUCCAACUGUAUUUUAUUUUCCGCCAUCUUCUGUAUUUCUGAAUACUUCUGCAAUCAGCCAUUGAUAACGGUGGCAGAGAGGAAACUAAACUUUCAUGUG
Non-coding RNA from Manis javanica (Malayan pangolin), 15977 nucleotides. NCBI's taxonomy places the organism in Eukaryota, Metazoa, Chordata, Mammalia, Pholidota, Manidae. The record is from RefSeq and is a predicted model, not a curated record.